GUGCUUGCUUCAGCAGCACAUAUACUAAAAUUGGAACGUUACAGAGAAGAUUAGCAUGGCCCCUGCGCAAGGAAGCGUUCCAUAUUAAAAAAAAAAAUAACAGCAAC
Molecule: small nuclear RNA, 107 nt
Organism: Suncus etruscus (white-toothed pygmy shrew)
Lineage: Eukaryota; Metazoa; Chordata; Mammalia; Eulipotyphla; Soricidae
Source: RefSeq, a predicted model, not a curated record